GSSGCSAUGGCCGCGGGGADUSUCGGAGGCAGCAGUGGGGGAAUCUUGCGCAAUAGGGCGAAACUGAACGCAGCGACGCCGCGUGCGGGAAGAAGGCCUUCGGGUUGUAAACCGCUUUCAGGGGGGACGAACCACUCGGGUGAACAGCCCAGAGGGUGACGGUACUCCCAGAAGAAGCCCCGGCUAACUACGUGCCAGCAGCCGCGGUAAUACGUAGGGGGCUAGCGUUGUCCGGAUUUAUUGGGCGUAAAGCGCGUGUAGGCGGUUAGACAGGUCCGACGUGAAAUCUCCAGGCUCAACCUGGAGCGGUCGUUGGAAACCGUCUGGCUAGAGUCCGGAAGAGGAGAGUGGAAUUCCUGGUGUAGCGGUGAAAUGCGCAGAUAUCAGGAAGAACACCGAUGGCGAAGGCAGCUCUCUGGGACGGUACUGACGCUGAGACGCGAAAGCGUGGGGAGCGAACAGGAUUAGAUACCCUGGUAGUCCACGCCGUAAACGAUGGGUGCUAGGUGUGGGCGGUGUCGACUCCGUCCGUGCCGAAGCUAACGCAUUAAGCACCCCGCCUGGGGAGUACGGCCGCAAGGCUAAAAACUCAAAUGAAUUGACGG
This 605-nucleotide ribosomal RNA is filed under the name uncultured bacterium. Its description in RNAcentral is "bacterial SSU rRNA". It matches the Rfam family "Bacterial small subunit ribosomal RNA", at positions 83 to 916 of the family's 1533-position model. The record is from RNAcentral.